Molecule: non-coding RNA, 10865 nt
Organism: Sus scrofa (pig)
Lineage: Eukaryota; Metazoa; Chordata; Mammalia; Artiodactyla; Suidae
Source: RefSeq, a predicted model, not a curated record
UUUUUUUUAAGUAUUGUUGAGAAGUGAUCUAUAAAUUUCUCUAGAUUGGCAAAGUGGUCUAUGACAACUAGAAGGUAAAGAACCCCUCCUCUAAAGGCUUUUUAGGGUGAGAGUCAGAGAAUGGGACUAGUAAAGGGAAGAAUAAAUGGGAACUUUAGAGCUAGUGCCUUCACCAGAUGAACCCACUCAGUCUAAGAGAAGUUCCUCCUGCAUGUUGUUAUUUUUCCUUUAUCCCUUGCCUGGGGCUCAUCCACCGCAAAGUAUGAUUUGCAUUUAACUUUACCCAAAAAAAUCAAGGCACAAACUUGUGAACUAGUUAUUUCAUUAUACCAGGACACAGUUUAGGAUUUUGAACCAAGUUACUUUUUUACAAACUACAAAGAAUGAGGAACCACCUAUUGAAUUUUUGGAGAUGACUAUAUGAACUAUAUUUGAAAGUGCAUUUAUGAAAAUUAAAUCAAUUUCGUCAUAAUAAAUUAUCUUGAAUUUGUUCUUCUUUCAGUUUAAUUUUUUGUUGUUUUCACUUUUUUAUUUUUUAUACUCGAUGAACUUAUUACAUUUAUAGUUGUACAACGAUCAUCACAAUCCAAUUUUUAGGAUUUCCAUCCCACAACCCCAAUGCAUCCCUUUCAGUUUAAUUUUAACUUGUGGAUGCUUCAUGGAAAAGGCUGAUAAACUCUGCUUUUAAGUUCAAGAGUAAUAGAUGAACUAACGAUUUGUGAGCAUUUAGUAAAUUCUGGGCACUGUGCUAAGCAUUUGUUAAGUUCCUCAGGGUCAUACAGCAGGUAAGUGAUAGAUCCUGCAGGUGAACCCAAGACAGUCUGAAUUCCAGGUCAGAGCUCUUGCAUAAUUACCUCCAUGGGGACUAAGACUGGGUCUCCUUGUUGUAUUGUUUUUGGAGUGGCUAGCUCAGUGUUUGAUAGACUUUAAGUUCACUGGCUGUUAAUUUUUUUAUUAUACCCAUCACUCCAAACAACUAACAGCACAGACAUAGGCAAAAUCACAAUCAUUCCUUCCUUCCAAUAGCACUCAAUACUGAACAACAACAAAAUGCACAGCUAUGUAGAGAAGGAGUGAGAUGAGCAUGUGCGUGGUGUGUGUGUGUGUGUGUGUCCCUGUGUGUGUGUUAUUUAUGGGAAACUCCUGUUCAUCAUUAAACUUCUUGUUGGCCUCCAUUUAUUUUUAUUAGCACAGGACCUAUAUUUCUUCUUUAAAUUAUAAUGUUCUAAAUAUUUUAAUGUGAAUAGACAUUGGAUUUUAGCCUCACUUAUCAUUUUUAUUUUUAAUUUUCACUUUGUAUCUUAUGCUAUCCUCUCUCCACAAAUUAUAUGGGCAAAUGAUAACUUGUUUAUUACUUUUGUUUCAAAUAGACUAUCCUUCCUGGAUAUAUUACUCACUUGUCUUUAUUCUUUUCUGCCCAGUGUCCUGGCAGGAAAACUACAGCUUUUGAUUUCAAAAGGCUUGCUGUUUGGUUUCCUUAGAAUUCCUACCUCCACCCUCCCUCUCCCCAGGGAAAUCUUACUUGAACAGUUCUGGCCGAAUUACCUAAAUAUUUUGAUAUCUUCCUAUUAAGCAUCUACACAGGGCAAUUACCUAAUAUGAGCAUUUUAUAAAUAAUUACAUCAAAUGCUUCUCAGAAUUCAAAUUUUAAAAUGCCCAAUCUCUUUUUAAUACUAGCAGAAUGGCUACUCAAAUUGUCUCCAACAAGUUCAUGAUGCUUAUCUUAAAUUCAGGAUGAUUAUUGAUUUCCUCUUAAUUUUUGUUCCAUGGUUUUGACGAUUCUUGACAGCCCAUUCCCAUGACAAUAUUUAGGAGGCAAUAUGCACAGAACAAUUCAAAAACAGUUCCAGGAUGUAGUCUCUAUUUCCCAGGCUAGGCCUUACUUCUUGAGAGGUCAGGUGGUAUUUCUCCAGUGGCUUCUUGAUUCAAGCAGCAUUAACUAAACCAGUGCUGUUCCCUACUCAAAGUGUGGUUCACAGAGCAGCAUCUGUAUCACCCGAGAGUUUAGAAUUCAGCCUCCACCCUGGGCCUACUGAAUCAGAAUCUGCAUUCUAGGCAGAUGCCCAGGACGGUUUUUUUUGUUUUUGUUUUUUUUAAGGUUUAAUCUAGUGCUCCUAGUGUUCCUGCUCUAAAUGAUUGGCAAGUAGGUAUUUAGGGAUACAAUAUUAAGAUGAAAUCUUCACCCACAUUUGGGCUCAAUGGGAAAGACUGAGGGAACUGACAAAUGAGAGUAUGUUUACCUUAGCCAUGGGGUUACUGCCUCACCAUUCCAAAUCUGUCCUAAUUGAUCUUCAUCUUCUUCUCCUCUAUCCAUCAGCAUUAUUCUGAAUUCCUACAACCCAUAGUUUCUAAUUUGGUCAGGACAAACUCUGCAUUGCUCUGCAAGUGCUGUGUGUCUGUACUUAUUGUAUUAGGAGUCCACUAGGAAUACAGAACCAAUAGGAUGGAGAAACAGAACCCACAUGGAAUUUAUUAUAAGGAAGUGUCUCCUGUGAUUAUGGAGGCUGGCGAGUCCCCUAGGAUCAGCAGGGUGAGUCGGCACACUGAAGACCCACCCUAGAAAGCUGAUGGUUUUCCAGGACAAGUCUGAAGGCAUGAGAAUCAGGAGAGAAGAUGGUUUAAGUUCCAGUGCAAAGACUGGCAGACUCAAGACUCAGGAAGAGUUAAUGAUUCAGUUUGAGUGCAAGGGCAGGAAAAAGCCUAUGUCUCAGUUUGAAAGCAAUCAAGAAGGAAGAAUUCGCUCUUACUUGGGGGAGGGUCAGCUUUUUUGGUCUAGUUAGCCCUUCAACUGGUUGGGUAGGCCCACCCACAUUAGGGAGGGCAAUCCUCUCCACUCCGUCUACUGAUUUAAACUUUAAUGUCAUCUAAAAACACCCAUACAAUAAAAGCCAGAAAAUAUUUGACCAAAUAUCUGAGCGCUCUGUGGACCCGUUGAGUUGACACAUAAAAUUAACCAUGACACUUAACCAUGUUCUCACCUCCUGGAAUACCUCAAUUCCACCACAUACCUUUCAAGUCAUAGCUCAAGCCUGUUUUCCAAGUUUUCCUAAAUUCUUUUCCUUGAUUUCCUCCUUGUCUCAACUACUUAUCAUACUCAGUCAAUACCAAGUGCUAGUCUGGGCAAUUUACUACCUUGUGUUUUCUACUCUUGUUUUGUUGUAUUAGACUUGUCUCUAUCCAACUGGUGGUGUCAUAAAAGUGGGAAUCUUGUUACAUUUUUUACUGAAAACCUCACCAUGCUCAAUGCUCCUUAAAUUUUGGCUAAGUGAUUUAAAAAUAAUAAUAAUAAUAACCAAAAAACAAAAUAAAUUUGUUUUCCCAGUGAAGUUCAUUAAAAAACUUAUCUUAGUACUUUUACUAAUUAGAAGAUUCUAGAAUAUCCUUUCUAUAAAAGGUACUUGCCAUUGAAAUGAGCAUUUUUUUGAAAAUUUUACAAUGAUUUUUAUUUUUUCCAUUAUAGCUCAUUUACAGUAUUACAUGUGUACUAACUAGGACCUUCUUGGAAAUAGCCAUGGUGUUGAAUUUUAAUUGUACCAUUUAUUGAGUACAAAAAAGUGACACCAGAUUAGUUUGUCUUAAUUUAGAUUCCCAUAGUGACAUAAGUUUGGCUGAAAACGCAUUGGGAUAUGGUAUGUUCACACAUGUAGCCUACAUGAUCUUGAGGAGGCAGCAGUUAAAUUGUAAUGUCCUAAAUCUACCGUUGCUGGGCUGUUGGGAGGAGGAUAAUGACAUGACACAGGAAGACCAUGGUGCUGCCCCAUGAGAAUGUUUAUUUUCAGCUCUGAGUGCACACAGACUGUGAUUCCUCUCACCCACCCAGAGGAGUUGGUUCACGUCAACAAAUCACAGAUUGACCCUGGUAGGGGAGAUGAGACUGGGACGACACCAGCGUCUACAACUCUGAGAAGCUGGUGAUGCUUCCCUGAAGACGGUCAUUAGUUCUCUUGAGACCAGCUGGAGGGGAGCAUGUGGAGGGACAGGCAGGAGAUAAGUGAAGGGAACAGUGGGUCUCUGUCCUUAAGACCAGAUUGUGAUCAUCAAUGAGUCUCCCAGCUGGGUAGCGAUGUGUGUCAUCACAGCAGCAAUCAGAGGUAGGCUGGCCACCUUCAUUCUGGCCAUGACAUGGAAACAUUUGCUUUCUAUUCUUUAAUAAACUAAUUCCCAAGCCCAUGCCUCUUUCCCGAGAAUGUUUCCCUCUUAUAAACUUUACUCUUACCUACCUAGAUUGUCUACACUUAAAGGAAUAAAGAGAACACUUUUCUGUUUAUCAUGGGGCUUGGGGAGACCUGCUCUAAAAUUCACCAUGCCUGUAUCAAGAGUACAAAUGGAAGUCUAUAUAUUAUAUGCCUGAAAGUUUAAAAGUUUAAGCCAAUAAGUUCUUGCAUGAGAUAUGUCCCAACCUACAUCCUUGACCUAGGAACCUAGGCCUUUAAAUACAGUUCUGUCCACAACAGCAACAACUACCCUUUGUCACUAUCUCAUGCACAGUCUACCCUUUGGAGGAUGGUUAAGACAAAGAUGCCAGUACAGAUCCAAUACACUCAGUGUCUGAUGGGUGGGGAAUUUUAGGAUCUCUGAAAAUCAAAAUCUUAGAAGUGGAGUCACAAACCCAGUGGAAAGCGACAUGGCCAGGGGAGAGUUUGAGUCAAAUCUUUCUGGAAAGGCCCAGAGCCGGGGAUUCUUUUCCACAGGUCUAAGGGCAGUGCUGAGGCCUGGGGUGGGAGGCAGAAGAGGACUCUUGCACAUUAGUACAAAACUUCUGCAACUGCACAGCAGAGAAAAUGCAGCGACUACAACCGGUGGAAAACUCACAUGUGUACUACUCAGGUCAGAGAGGUAAAAGUUGCAGUCUUGGGAAAUUUCCACACAAACAGUCAUCUGGUAUUUUCAGCUGAUAUUGGAAAGAACUCAAGUCCUUCACACAGAGCAACUGGGACAAACUCCGUACAUAAAAAGUGUCCUUGGUGUCAACUGCAUAAAUAAGAAUUCAGGCUUUCCUGUGAUAUUUCCUAAAGCCCCCGAAGCAAAAUGCAGACUCCCAGAACAACCAGGGUAGGAUACAGAGAAAAAGAUUAUUGCCAGAAUCUAGAGAAAGAAGAAUCCAGACCAUCCUAAGUCAGAAAUUGCUCUUGGUUACAGAUCUAUGGUAUGUUCAUGAUUCACUGAAAAACAAAAUGUAUAUAGUUCUUUCAGAGACAGGGUUGAGUCAUUCUGAAUAUAUCCUGUUGUUAUCUAUAUGAAGUCUUUUAGGUCAUCAUGUUUAUAGGUAGUCAUGCCAGCCCAGGAGAGCCCUUCCUAUACCAGCUGAGGAGGAAGAGUUGUGUCCUCUCUUUCCAUUCCUGCCUUCAGUGACUUCAGGAUGGGAUUGUUUGAAAUUAGCAUUGGUGGGAGCAUUUUCUAACACCAGAGAAAGCCACGAAUACUACAAAUCAGGGCUGUCUUCUCCUAGAGAGCCUUCGUUAUAAAUUUACAAGCACACAACUGUACCUAAGCCCAAAGUGGGCAAAAAUAACAGAUAAGUAUUUUUCUUCUUCAUAAUGCUAGUUUCUGAGUAGGCUACAUAUUUAUUACACAAAUAACCAUAAUUAUAUGCUUGUAUCUAAACCUUAUAUCAAAAUAUAUUUGUCCCCAUUUUAGAUUUUGUUUUCAAUGAUGGUGAAUGAGAAAUGUCAGUAUUUAAAAAGCAUCAGAAUUAUCUCCCAAUUACUUUAUCCCAGUAUGAUUUUAUUUUACUUAUAAAGCUUUUUUUUUUUUUUUUUAUUAACCCUGCACCCAUGGCAUGUGGAAGUUCCUGGGCCAGGGAUCAAACCCAUGCCACAGCAGAGACAACUGCCAGAUCCUUAACUGCUAGGCCACCAGGGAACUUCCCAAUAUGAUUUUGAAAGGAUAAUUUAUUGCCCAGGAAGGUAAUAAAGAUUAGUUCUGUGUUUAGGAAAAAGGAAAAAAAAAUUAUUCUGCACCUGGUCAGAAAGUGCUACUUAGCUUUUGAGAAUCAUCUUGCAGAGCACAAAGGCAUUCUCAUGUUGCUGGUCUUACUCUGGGGCUUGUUUUCUGAAACUGCCUAGAGCAUCAAAUCCAAAAAAACAGGUGUGUGUGCCUUUCCUAUGGGAGUCUGUCAUCCCUUUGGUUCCCCUCUCCUGUAAGAAAUUUAAAAAGUCAAGUUUCCUCCUUCGAGUCACGCUUCAACACGCCAAGGGCGGACACGGCACACCUGCUCCACCUUCACCACCCAUCACUCAUCAUCAGUGGGAAAGCAGGCAUGGAGAGGGAAGGGCGAGGGUGAUCAUCAGCCACCUGAAGAACUGGGCACAGCCUCCUCGGUCGUUUUCUGUGUCUGAAGGCAUAAAGUUACAAAAUUUGGAAAAGUCAGAACUGCAGGGCAAACUAGCUGCAUAAGCCCUUUACUGGGAAUAGGAAUGGAAAAGAGUGUUUACAGUUUGUCAGCUCCCAGCACAGUUUGGAGAAUACUAAACACAGGUGCCAUUACUCCAGCCUUGUUCUGAUUUAUUUGCAACAUCUGUGGAGAAAACCACAGACUAGAAAGAAAUUACCUUGACAACUUCUUUUACCCAAAGAGCUGUUGUAAUUUCUCAAUGUUCUGGUCUAUAUGCGUCCCAAAAACACAUUUGUGGAGUUGAAUUGGAAAGUUUCUCAUUUGAAUUGACUAUAAGAGUUCUGACCUGGCUGGAGUUAAUUUGUCUACUGGAAAGUAAAUAAUUUGCUUUCUAAUGAAAUUUUAAAGAACAAGUAUCUUCUUUGGAGUAAGCACUAUAGUAUAGACACCCAUCAAUUUACUGUGGCAGGAUUAAUGAUGGCCCCCAAAGAGGUCCACAUCCUAAUCUCCAGAACUUGUGAACACGUGAUGUUACAUGGCUGAAGGGACUUUACAGGCGUGACUAACUUAAAGAUCUUGAGAUGGGGAGAGUGUUCUGAAUUACCCAGGUGGGCCCAAUGCAGUUACAAGAGUCUUAUAAGAGGAAGAGAAGGGAAUCACAGAGAGUCAAUGUUGUCCUGCUGAAGACGCAGCAAGGGGUCUGGAGCCAAGAAGUAGGAGUAGUUUCUGCAAGCUGGAAAAAAGCAGAGAGAUGCAUUCUCCCCUAGAGCCUCCAGAAGGAAUACACACCCGCUGACACCUUAACUUCAGCCCUGUGGGAGACAAUUUGGACUUCAGACCUCCAGAACUGGUUGCCAAGAACUUUAAAAAGAGAGAGAAGGAGUGCAACGAUGCAUGUGCCUUUUUUUGUAGACAGCUUGGAUAGUUCCACGAGCUGUUGAAGAGUCGAAAAGCAAAUAAACGUCAACAGUUCUGAAUCCCAACAUUGUUUAAUGACAACCUUCCCAUGUUUGCCAACUUGCUGCUUAACAACAAUCCUGUUGACACUGUGUGAAAAGCUUUCCAGGUCCUCCCAGUGAAAGCUGAAACAGAAGCAAGGUCCGGAAUUGAUGACAUGUAACCUAAGCCUUCUCUGUGGAAGAAUCUGGAACAUAUCUACCUAUGUUUGAAUCUUGCCUCACCCACUUACCUAGGUGUGUGAGUGGACACUUAAACCUCUCUGUGCCUCAGUUCCUCCAGUGGUGAAUAAUAUUAUCUACCUCAUAGCAUCAUAAGGGUUAAGUGAGUUUAAUGUAAGUAAAGCACCUAGAAUAGUGCCUGGCACAUACCAACGACUCUCCACUCUUAGCUGGUAACCACUGAGUCUUGCUUCCUUGGUGAUUUCUCUAGCUCAUGUGUCUACAACCUUUAGAUUAUCUAAAGGUAUCUCGAAACUAACAGGUCUACAGAAGAACUCAAAUUUUUGACCUUCAUCACAUUGUGUCUCCAACUUUCUUAAACCGCCCUUUAGGUCUAUCACACCCAUGGCCAAGCUUUCAGCAAAAGCCUGUCAGUUCAACCUACAAGAGGUAUCCAAAUUUGACCAUUUCUCAUGAUCUCCACUGCACUUACCAUGGGUGCAAACAAACAACUCUUUCUUAAACAAUUGGAGAAGCAUCCCACUGAUUUCUUGGCUCCCAUCCUCCCUUCCUUCCUAUAUUUCAUCCAGAAUCGUUCCUUUAAAUUGUGACCUUUUAUCAUGUUACUCCUUUGCUGAAGACCCUCUAAUCAUAUUUCAUCUCACUCAGAGUAAAGCUUAAAUCCUGGCACAGCUUUUCAGGUGACAUCUUAUCUGGCCCCACUACCCUGUGUAUCACCUCUUUCUCUCUCCCCUCUGCUCCAACCUCUGAUUUCUUCAGAUAGCUCGCAUGCUAUUCUGCUCCUUCAAGGCUCUUUUCACAAAUAUCAGGAUGGCUUGUGCUCCUCCUUUCCUUCAGGUCUCUUAUCUAAUAAUAGGCCUUCCUUCCCUGUCCACCACAUGGAAACAGCAUCCAUUUCCCUCCUCACCGUAUACUUUUUGCCACUUCACUUUACUUUUCUUCCUUACACUAAUCACCACCUGAUAUAUUAUCUAUUUGUCUUUCUCCUUGAGAUCAGAGGUUUUUCCAUUCAGGCUGUACCCCAAGGGCCUAGAACAGUAUUUGGCAAAUCAUAGGGGCUCCAUAAACAUUGAAUAAAUUAAUGAAAUUGUGUCAUUGUCUAAGGAUGACUUCUUGGGACCCUCAUUUGAGUGACUGGAUGUCCCACUUCAAAUGGAUUUGCGUUUGCAUGCAUUUUAUGGGUCUGUGAAAUAUUUUAAGAUUGAGUUAAAAGGGUUUUUUUUUUUUUUUCCUUUUUUCCUAUUUUCCUCUGGAGAUUUGGACACUCUUCCUCUUACUCGCUUGUUCAGAGCCAAUCAAUGUCACCCUUUAGUCUGCCAAAGUGGUUGCUGAGUGACGAGGCAUUUCAUCCCUGGGGAAGCUUAAAGUAUCGCUGGUGCAGUUGCUGCUGGCUAUGAGUGAAAAUCUGUGCUUGAUCAACCAAGAUCCCUAGUAGGGAGCACAGGCAAGGGAAGUUCAGACUCUGGGUCACCUCAGAGGUUCUUUCAAGCCUUCCCUUCAAUACCCAUGCAGAUUUUUAGUGCUUAUGAAACCAAGGCACCCCAGAGAGUUUGCUAUGUAGUCUAAUACACUGAAGGAUCCCUACUGAGCUUCAACCACAGCUCUGCAGAGAGAUCUGGGUCUCUCUGAUGACUAAGCUCAUCAUAUUCAUUUAUAACUUAAAUUCUAAUAAAAUAUUAUUGAACCAAGAGAAAUAUCCCUUGUGGAUUUCACUGUUAUAGCUGGAGCAGUAAAGAAUUAGGCUUUUUCUCAUUAAAAUGACUUUUCUUUUCAUGCCAUAGAGCCAAUAUAAUGAUUGUUUAGCAAUGCAGUGGCUUUACUCUGCUUGGCUACUGUAACAUGAUAACAAAGACUAAGUGAUUUUAAUAAGAGACAUUUAUUUCUCACAGUUCUGGAGGCUGGGUAGUCCAAGAUCAAGGUACGCGCACAGAAUUAGUUCCUGGUAAGAGCCAGCUUUUGACUGUGUGCUCACAUGGCCUUUCCUCUGAGCAUCUUCCUGGAAAGACAGAGGGACUGAGAGAGAGAGCUCUUGUCUUUUCUUAAAAGGGCACUAAUCUCAUCAGGAGGGUCCCACACCUAUGACCAAAUUUAAGCCCAACUACCUACCAAAGGCCCCACCUCCAAAUACCAUCACAUUGAAGACUGAGGCUUCAGUAUGGGACACUCAGCCCAAAACAGUGAUUAAAAAUUUUGAAAUCAGAGUGACCUGGAUUUAAAUCUUGACUGAGAUCAUUUCAUUAGAGUUCAUUUAGGUAAGUUACCCAACUUUUCUAAGCCUCUAUGCUUUUAAAAUCUGUGCAAUGGACAGUCUGCUACUUCACUGAAGUCUUACUAGCAAUCUAGCAAAUCAUAACUAUAGAUCAAGUGUUUAGAUGAUGACUGUCAUUUUUAUCUUUUAAAUCCCUCCCUUUACCUUAUAUAAAUCCUUGAAAAUGCUCAGAAAAGUAUUCUACUUAUAAAGAAAUAUGACAGUUUUAUUUCUGACUGAUUAAAAUGUAAAAUGCAUUAUCCCCUCUCACAAUAGAAAAUGGCUUUAUAGGUUCUUAAGCUCUUAUUUUAAGGUGCCAAUUUUCAUAUUACAUAGGAAAUGUAUCAAGUAUUAUUUUAAAAACAUAAAAGGAAAUAAAGUAUUAUUUUGCAAAAACUUUAUACUUUAUUAUAGCUUAUUUUUAAUCAAUAUAAAAAUAGAAAGUAAAUGUCUCUGAUAAAUAUAUAUACAUUCUUUAUACAUUUUUAUUUGUGUAAAGAAUCUAGCUAAGUUCUUAGCAUAUUUGUAGAUGUUAAGACAUGUUUAACUUCCCUAACUUCUCCAAUAUCUACCUAAACUUUAACAUAACUUAAGCUUUAUGGAAAAACCUGGGACAAAAAUGUUAGCAUUCUAAUCUUUUACAUAUUAGUUUCCAUUUUAAACAUUUCUAAUAUUAUAACUUUUUUCAUCUGCUUGACCUCCACAAUUUCUAGUGUAGAUAGUAAGAGCUGUGAGUACCUACAUUCUAUUGCCCAGAGUGAUGCUUUUAAAUUGUUAAUCAGUUAGGUUUUUGUUUUUGUUUUGGAUAAAAUGUUCACUGUCAGAUUCAGUCAUUUAUUAAUUAAGCCCAAAUUUAUUAAGAGCCUGCUGUGUACCAGGCACUACACUCACUAGGCAGUGGGUAUAUUGAGGUGAGGUGAAUAAGAGGUAAGGUCUCUCAUGGAGGCAGAUUAAAUUCUAAUGUAGAAUGACAGAUAAUAAACAACCAACACAAUUUUGGAUUUUCAAGAGUCCUAGAGGAGGCCAAAGAAUAGUCAACAAAGGCAGUUAUACAUUCUUUUAGAUAGUGGGAAGCAUCCCAAAUGUAGUGCCAUCUGAACUGAAACCUGAAAUUUGAAGUAACUGGUCAGGUAAAAAAAAAAAA